This 66-nucleotide transfer RNA is filed under the name Dreissena rostriformis. RNAcentral's name for it is "tRNA-Leu". It matches the Rfam family "tRNA". Rfam says of the family: Transfer RNA (tRNA) molecules are approximately 80 nucleotides in length. Lineage: Eukaryota; Metazoa; Mollusca; Bivalvia; Myida; Dreissenidae. The record is from RNAcentral.
UUUGAGUUAGCAGAAAUAGUAAUGCGUCUGUUUUAGGUGCAGAAAGUAAGAAGAUCUUACUCAAAA